UUAUUUUGGAAAGGGGAUCACUUUAUAUUCUUUUUCUUGAAUUAUAUUGUGGGUUUUUUGUUUCGUGCAUCUUACUUAAUACUUAGGAUCGAGACGGGAUUUGCGCAGCUCCAGGAUCGCUGUUGACUAACCGAAUGAAGGUGGUAGGAAAAGGAUUAGGAGAGUGGAAGGGAAGUAAGGGCUUCAAGCCAUCUCAGUACAUUCACCAAAAGACAACCCGUAUCAAAGAGAUAAGACAAAGCUAAAAGAGUCCAUUCUCUUUGGUGAUUUGUGCAGGAGGACAUCAAUUUUAUGCCCACGGUAAUUGCUAAACUACAGCGAAAACCCAAUAAACAUGCGGAGAAGGAAAAGGAAAUGCUGACCAUAGAGAGAAAAGCAAUAAAGAGGCUAAUCCUACAGAGUCACCGUUGGAGCCUCGCAAGAGCCUGGUAAACCUAAGAGCCAUUUAGAUUUGAAGAUGAGUGUGUCAGAGACUCUGGAAAAUUAUAGCAUUUCUCUCAGUAUAAUGAAACCACCAACCAUGUGAGUACCUGAUUCAAGAUGAACUAGGCUUUCUGUGGAAGGGAAGCGUAAUUCAAAUAUUCUCUGGCCACACACCAGCGAUCUUAAAAAGAGAACACAUCAUUUUUUCCUUGCAAAGCUAUCUGGGCUGCUGCUGAAAUAUUCCAAAAUAUUCAAGUUCAUGGAAAAGGGGACCAAAGCGAAGAGAGCUGAAAAGGCCUCCGGUUUCCAGGCCUGUUCACUAGGCUACGCCAGGGGUAAUGGAACCAUUUCAAGGCCCAUGGUUUAAAAAAUUUUUUUUAAUGUUUUUAUUUCUUUUUGAGACAGAGAGAGACAGAGCAUGGGCGGGGGAGGGGCAGAGAGAGAGGGAGACACAGAAUCCGAAGCGGGCUCCAGGCUCCGAGCCGUCAGCACAGAGAGACAACAGCGUGAGGGUUCCGUCUACUGUCGCUGACCUUGAAGUUAGAGGGAGAAGACUCCAGGCCAAGGGAUGUGGGUGGAGGCAGAGGGAGAAAAGGCAGAGGGAGACCGAGUUUCCUCUGGAGCCUCCAGAAAGAAAUGUAGCCCUGCGGAUAUCCUGCUUUCAGCACGAACUGGCCCUUCUACCUCUGAUGCUGCCACUGCCCUGUCGGCCAAUGAACGCUGGACAGCAACAAUAAAAAACCAGAGUGGUGGGGCCCCUGGGUGGCUCAGUCGGUUAAGCGUCUGACUUUGGCUCAGGUCACCAUCUCACAGUUCGUGGGUUCGAGCCCCGCAUCGGGCUCUGUGCUGACAGCGCAGGGCCUGGAGCCUGCGUAGGAUUCUGUG
Long non-coding RNA from Acinonyx jubatus (cheetah), 1308 nucleotides. RefSeq lists it as uncharacterized. The transcript has 3 exons. The record is from RefSeq and is a predicted model, not a curated record. Lineage: Eukaryota; Metazoa; Chordata; Mammalia; Carnivora; Felidae.